RNAcentral lists this ribosomal RNA (422 nucleotides) under uncultured bacterium. RNAcentral describes it as "bacterial SSU rRNA". It matches the Rfam family "Bacterial small subunit ribosomal RNA", at positions 355 to 774 of the family's 1533-position model. The record is from RNAcentral.
UAAGGAAUAUUGGACAAUGGAGGCAACUCUGAUCCAGCCAUGCCGCGUGAAGGAAUAAGGCCCUAUGGGUUGUAAACUUCUUUUAGACGGGACAAAACCCCUUUACGUGUAAAGGGUUGAUGGUACUGUCAGAAUAAGCAUCGGCUAACUUCGUGCCAGCAGCCGCGGUAAUACGAAGGGGGCUAGCGUUGCUCGGAAUCACUGGGCGUAAAGGGCGCGUAGGCGGACAUUUAAGUCAGGGGUGAAAUCCCGGGGCUCAACCUCGGAAUUGCCUUUGAUACUGGGUGUCUCGAGACCGGAAGAGGUAAGUGGAACUGCGAGUGUAGAGGUGAAAUUCGUAGAUAUUCGCAAGAACACCAGUGGCGAAGGCGGCUUACUGGUCCGGUUCUGACGCUGAGGCGCGAAAGCGUGGGGAGCAAACA